GAUGAACGCUGGCGGCGUGCCUAAUACAUGCAAGUCGAGCGAACGGACGAGAAGCUUGCUUCUCUGAUGUUAGCGGCGGACGGGUGAGUAACACGUGGAUAACCUACCUAUAAGACUGGGAUAACUUCGGGAAACCGGAGCUAAUACCGGAUAAUAUUUUGAACCGCAUGGUUCAAAAGUGAAAGACGGUCUUGCUGUCACUUAUAGAUGGAUCCGCGCUGCAUUAGCUAGUUGGUAAGGUAACGGCUUACCAAGGCAACGAUGCAUAGCCGACCUGAGAGGGGGAUCGGCCACACGGGAACUGAGACACGGUCCAGACUCCUACGGGAGGCAGCAGUAGGGAAUCUUCCGCAAUGGGCGAAAGCCUGACGGAGCAACGCCGCGUGAGUGAUGAAGGUCUUCGGAGCGUAAAACUCUGUUAUUAGGGAAGAACAUAUGUGGAAGUAACUGUGCACAUCGUGACGGUACCUAAUCAGAAAGCCACGGCUAACUACGUG
This 497-nucleotide ribosomal RNA is filed under the name uncultured bacterium. Its description in RNAcentral is "partial 16S ribosomal RNA". It matches the Rfam family "Bacterial small subunit ribosomal RNA", at positions 28 to 507 of the family's 1533-position model. The record is from RNAcentral.